Long non-coding RNA from Carassius auratus (goldfish), 884 nucleotides. RefSeq lists it as uncharacterized. The record is from RefSeq and is a predicted model, not a curated record. The transcript has 5 exons. Lineage: Eukaryota; Metazoa; Chordata; Actinopteri; Cypriniformes; Cyprinidae.
GAGAAGGGUCUGGCUGCAGACCAUGGGCGAGUGGAGCUCCACUCUCAAACCGGAAAUACGUCACCUCCACUUGAAAACAUCAAGAUGGCGUCGCGGGGAGUACUUCAAACUUAAACUCAGGGAUAGGAUUGGCAUAGAAGAUGCAGCACUCUUUACAUUUUAAAUGUAUGUUGCCACCUUAGAAGUCAAGGUCUUUUUACAUGUGACAUUAACAUAUUUAUUUUUUCUAUUUUGUUGUUCUGUUAUUCUAUUGUUUUACUUUUUUUGUUUCCGAUCAAAUGUAUAUCAAGUGUUAUCCAUCCUCAUAACACCUCCACAAAUAGAGACUGAAACUUCUGAGCACCAUCACCUUGUCUGCUAUGGGACUGUCAUAGCCCAGCAAUCAGAUGCAUCAGAACAACAAAGCACAACUGUGGUGGCCCAGGCACCUUCAGCAACAAAGAUUUAACAACACUGUCAGUCAGGAGCAUAUUUAACAGGAGCCACACUCAACUGGCUUGAUGGUGACUUCAGUGCAGUGAAGAUAUUUAAAGAGACACUAUCUAAAGUACAGAAAGCCGUACAUCAUCUCUAGGUGCAGUCACCUACAGUGCAGCCAGCUUCACAAAGACUGUGGGGCUGGUCACCAGGAAAAUGGCCAACAAGGAGUGCUUUUGGGGUUUUACUCCUCAGAUGACCACCCUGGCUACUGUAGCUGGGAUUGCUUCACAGACGAUGGAGGUCUUGAAGAGUAAAGUGUGCGUGCGUGUGAACACAUUGUGUUAUUACAGUAACAAUUAUGGUCACUUGCAAGUUCAUGUGUUUUCAAUGUAGUGUAAGAUGUGUUAAUUAUUAUUAUUACUCAAAAACCAUUAAAACUUCUAAAUUGUGGAAGUUAUUCUUCA